This 186-nucleotide long non-coding RNA is filed under the name Cercocebus atys (sooty mangabey). RNAcentral describes it as "lncRNA (ENSCATG00000045895.1)". The record is from RNAcentral. Lineage: Eukaryota; Metazoa; Chordata; Mammalia; Primates; Cercopithecidae.
CAGAAACUGGCAGAUCUCUGCAGAGCAUGCUGACGACGCUGAACAGCUGCAAGUUGAACAAGGAAGAAUGAAAGCAGGCGCUAAAACGAUUGACAGGCGGAGAGCAUUUGCUCGGUGGAGGUAGGAAAUGGAUUUAUUUACCUGACCCUUCAACCCAAUAGUUCCUAACUGCUGGUGCCAUUAAAA